RNAcentral lists this ribosomal RNA (429 nucleotides) under Bacteroidota bacterium. Its description in RNAcentral is "Bacteroidetes bacterium partial 16S ribosomal RNA". It matches the Rfam family "Bacterial small subunit ribosomal RNA", at positions 355 to 776 of the family's 1533-position model. The record is from RNAcentral. Lineage: Bacteria; Pseudomonadati; Bacteroidota.
UAGGGAAUCUUCCGCAAUGGACGCAAGUCUGACGGAGCAACGCCGCGUGAGUGAAGAAGGAUUUCGGUUCGUAAAACUCUGUUGUUAGAGAAGAACAGCGCAUAGAGUAACUGUUAUGCGUGUGACGGUAUCUAACCAGAAAGCCACGGCUAACUACGUGCCAGCAGCCGCGGUAAUACGUAGGUGGCAAGCGUUGUCCGGCUUUAUUGGGCGUAAAGCGAGCGCAGGCGGUCAAUUAAGUCUGAUGUGAAAGCCCCCGGCUCAACCGGGGAGGGUCAUUGGAAACUGGUUGACUUGAGUGCAGAAGAGGAGAGUGGAAUUCCAUGUGUAGCGGUGAAAUGCGUAGAUAUAUGGAGGAACACCAGUGGCGAAGGCGACUGUCUGGUCUGUAACUGACGCUGAGGUUCGAAAGCGUGGGUAGCAAACAGG